Long non-coding RNA from Camarhynchus parvulus, 163 nucleotides. RefSeq lists it as uncharacterized. The record is from RefSeq and is a predicted model, not a curated record. The transcript has 2 exons. NCBI's taxonomy places the organism in Eukaryota, Metazoa, Chordata, Aves, Passeriformes, Thraupidae.
CCGCCCCCACGGCCGCCUACGGACAGCACGGACGGCGGUGGCAGCGCCGAGACCCCCAGAGCCCCCCCUGGCCGCCCUCGCCCGGCUCGGGGUGACCCCAAAAAAUCCCCAAAAAUCCCCAAAAAAUCCCCAAAAAAUCCCAAAAAAUCCCCAAAAAUCCCCC